This 566-nucleotide RNase MRP RNA is filed under the name Lipomyces starkeyi NRRL Y-11557. Its description in RNAcentral is "RNase MRP". It matches the Rfam family "RNase MRP". From Rfam's summary of the family: RNase MRP is an enzymatically active ribonucleoprotein with two distinct roles in eukaryotes. Lineage: Eukaryota; Fungi; Ascomycota; Lipomycetes; Lipomycetales; Lipomycetaceae. The record is from Rfam by way of RNAcentral.
UUCUCGCUCAAAAAAUUGCAUUCGAAGCUUACUACCAAAAGCAUGCAGGAGAAGGAUGGAUUUUAUUCAUUCCUUCUUUUGCAUGCUUUUUAUAUGCUUUGGGGAAAGGUAGUUGCAUUGUUUGACGGUUUAAUUCAGCAGGCUAACAUGAAUAUAGUCUCCGGUCAAUCGGGUUGUCUCAAUGAGAUAAAAAGUGGAAACGCACGGACUUAAAACUCCGGUCGUAAUUCGAAUCUAACGUUUUCCAGGCCGUCGCAACGGCUCACGAUACUUUGGCUCGCCCAGAGCAGAGGUGUUGCGGCAUAUACGGCUGUUUGGCAAAACCGUCUGGAUGUUCGUUGCCCCGCCAAAUGCAGUCCUUCGGGUCUGCGUUUGUUCGACGCUGUUGAAUUCGCCUUUGUCGUGCAGCCACGGGUUGGUAAUUCCCGGUUUCACUGCGUGGCGAAGCCGGGGGGUAUCACAUUCGUUUGGUAAUCAUAGUUAUGCAAUUCAAAUCGACGUUUGUCUUCGUUUCUCGGAGGCAUCAUGUCGGUUAGAACCCAAUGGAGCUUAUUCUUGAAGUGAGG